AGGAAAGGAGGUGAAGAGAUGGAAGAAAGAUGAGCGGAGUGGAGCUGACUGAGUCGCCAAUAUAUCAGUGUUAGCGUUUGUUCCACUGUUCCUCCUUGCCCGCAUCCUCAGAGGAUCCAGCAGAGCAGAUACCAGCGGAUUCAUCUCUCCUGCAAAAUACAAAUGUUGAAACCUUUCCUACCCUCCACCACUUCACCUCUACAAUUCACCAAAUGAAGCGUCUGCUCAAUGAUCUGUUGACCGAGACAGAAACUCCCCAAACCUGUUGCAGAGCCGUGCCUGCUCCCAAAGGAGAUGGAAAUAGCCAGAGCAGCAUGUGGCUGCUGGCAACAGUUCAACUGCCUUUCACCACGCUGUGUGUCGUACUGCAGGACUGUGCAGUCCAUCUGAGCAAGAUGAAGAAGGAGGAAGAGAGAGAGGAGAGGAGGAG
Epinephelus fuscoguttatus (brown-marbled grouper) is the source of this 430-nucleotide long non-coding RNA. RefSeq lists it as uncharacterized. Lineage: Eukaryota; Metazoa; Chordata; Actinopteri; Perciformes; Serranidae. The transcript has 4 exons. The record is from RefSeq and is a predicted model, not a curated record.